Molecule: non-coding RNA, 237 nt
Organism: Pelobates cultripes (western spadefoot toad)
Lineage: Eukaryota; Metazoa; Chordata; Amphibia; Anura; Pelobatidae
Source: the annotation of a GenBank genome assembly
GUGACUCCAUACCCAAGCGGUAUACGUAAGGCGCAUAACCAAGUUAUUAUUUAUUUUGUUUUACAUGCUAAAAUGUUACUUUGUGUUUUAAAAUCUUAUUGUACCACACAAGAUGCAUGUAGGAGAGAAUACCGGGGCCCCCAACCUCCUCCCACACAGACUCAAUACGUAUUCAGCGAGACAUAGUCUCGGUUAGAUCCUGACACUGCCCAAUUACCAUGGGUUGGGGAGUCGGGG